UUAUCGGUUUGUUUGAUGUUACAGCCAAGGGUCUGUAGCUCAGGUGGUUAGAGCACCGUCUUGAUAAGGCGGGGGUCGUAGGUUCAAGUCCUACCAGACCCACCAAGUUACGGGCGGCGGAGAGCGAUCUUGCCGUGAACUGGGGGAUUAGCUCAGCUGGGAGAGCACCUGCUUUGCAAGCAGGGGGUCGUCGGUUCGAUCCCGUCAUCCUCCACCAACACCUUGUGGUAGCCAAACGCAAGCAUCGAGAGAUCGGUGUUUGCGUUUGGCAUUGCCAAGACGAGUAGUAACUCGGCUGUUCUUUAACAAUAUGGAAUGUAGUAAAGGUGUCGCGGCGCGUUGAUGAGGCGCGCAAUUUAAACGCGACACUGGGUUGUGAUUGUAUCAACCAGUAUUACGAGUGAUCGAAAGACCGCUUGGAAUACGGCACAACGCGAGAACUCAGCCUAUAGCGAGACAUACUCGUUAUAGGGUCAAGCGAAUAAGUGCAUGUGGUGGAUGCCUUGGCGAUCACAGGCGAUGAAGGACGUAGUAGCUUGCGAAAAGCUGCGGGGAGCUGGCAAACGAGCUUUGAUCCGCAGAUGUCCGAAUGGGGAAACCCGGCCCGUAUGGGUCAUCCCUUGCUGAAUACAUAGGCAAGGGAGGCGAACGCAGUGAACUGAAACAUCUAAGUAGCUGCAGGAAAAGAAAUCAACCGAGAUUCCCAAAGUAGUGGCGAGCGAAAUGGGAACAGCCUUGUACUCUUUAGCAGUAUUGUUAGCGGAACGGAAUGGAAAGUCCGGCCAUAGUGGGUGAUAGCCCCGUACGCGAAAACAGUAUUGUGGAACUAGGUGUACGACAAGUAGGGCGGGACACGUGAAAUCCUGUCUGAAGAUGGGGGGACCAUCCUCCAAGGCUAAAUACUCGUGAUCGACCGAUAGUGAACCAGUACCGUGAGGGAAAGGCGAAAAGAACCCCGGGAGGGGAGUGAAAUAGAUCCUGAAACCGCAUGCAUACAAACAGUCGGAGCCUGGAAACGGGUGACGGCGUACCUUUUGUAUAAUGGGUCAGCGACUUACAUUCAGUGGCAAGCUUAACCGAUUAGGGAAGGCGUAGCGAAAGCGAGUCCGAAUAGGGCGUUCAGUCGCUGGGUGUAGACCCGAAACCAAGUGAUCUAUCCAUGGCCAGGUUGAAGGUGCGGUAACACGUACUGGAGGACCGAACCCACUAACGUUGAAAAGUUAGGGGAUGAGCUGUGGAUAGGGGUGAAAGGCUAAACAAACUUGGAAAUAGCUGGUUCUCUCCGAAAACUAUUUAGGUAGUGCCUCGUGUCUCACCUUCGGGGGUAGAGCACUGUCAUGGUUGGGGGGUCUAUUGCUGAUUACCCCGCCAUAGCAAACUCCGAAUACCGAAGAGUGCAAUCACGGGAGACAGACAUCGGGUGCUAACGUCCGGUGUCAAGAGGGAAACAACCCAGACCGCCAGCUAAGGUCCCUAAGAUUGGCUAA
Molecule: small RNA, 1487 nt
Filed under: Ralstonia solanacearum
Lineage: Bacteria; Pseudomonadati; Pseudomonadota; Betaproteobacteria; Burkholderiales; Burkholderiaceae
Description: bacterial LSU rRNA
Rfam family: Bacterial large subunit ribosomal RNA (bases 472-1487)
Source: RNAcentral